GACGCCGCAAUUGACGACUCCGAUCGCGCCCAACGGAGAGCCGGUCACUUCCGGAGCCCCUUCGAAUCCCGUCCCCGGUAAUGAUGAAAUUCAUUUUGAAGGCGGUAAACUCGCUGGUGUCACUUUCGGAGCGGUUUCGGAAGGAUCUGGAGACUUUGGAGGAACUUUAGGGUCUGGAUUUGCCAGUGGAGAUGCAGAGAGGUCAGGGUCAGGGUUUGAUAAGAUGGAAUUUGAUAAGACUCGAGGUGUAGAUGGUGAAAAUAUUCUAAUCCAGGCUCAUGAUGUGAAUCUAAAUGUGCCAAAUGUUGAAACUUUUUCUGCUAAAAGUAGGGAGUUUAAUUUGACUGCAUUGAAUUUGCAACAUGGACAAAAUGCUGUUAUGGAAGUUCCAAAUAUUGUUCACAAAGGUGACUCUAAACCUCAAAGUAAUAUCUCUGCAAGUAGCAACACAAGUGCAUUUGAAAGACUUAAAGCUUCUGCAGACCACUCCCAAAUUGCAGCCACUGAAGAUGCAACACUAGCUAAGAAUAGACAAGAUAGUACAGCAACCUUUUUAGCCACUGAUAGCCAAGUGAGUCAGGCUUCAGAUAAUCAAAUCGGAAAACAAUUAGUGAGAGAAAAGACUGAUUUAUCGAGCCAAGAAGUCAGUCAAAAUGUUGAAAUAAUUGAUAAAACUCCAAGCGCUAAAGACGGAAGUAUGUUCGAUUUGCAAAGUACAGCUAACACUUUUUCACCGGAGAACAACUUAGCAAAUCACGGCAUUAGCACGUUGGGAAAUUUCGAAACUUCCACUGCAAAUCCCCAAGUCGCCGUCACCGAAGAUGCAACGACGGCUAAGAAUAGAAAAGAUACUGCUGUCCCCGAUCGCCAUGUCAACCGGGCUUCAGCUAACCAGGCUAACGCUAACAUUAAGAGCGGUUUAGUGACGGAAAAGCCUGAUUUAUUUACCCAGGAAACCCAGCCAAAUGUUGAGUUAGCGACUGCAACCACAGGCGCUAAGCAAGCUAGCUCAAUUGAGUCGCAAAGUCCCGCUACUACCACUAUAGCUAACAUUUAUUCACUGGAAAAUACUGUAGCAUUUAGCCACGUUAGCGAUUCAGGAACUGCAGAUUUGCCGACAGCUAGCGAGAAUGUGGGAAGCAAAGAGCUGAUAGUUAACCAGGCUUUAGAUAACAAGAUUAGCGACAAGAUGUUGACAGAAAAGCCAGACUUUCCUAAACUGCUAAAUGAUGUCAAAGGUUUAGCUAUCGAAAAGAAUAGCAUUGUAGAUUUGCUAAACGUGACAAAUUCGACAUCAGCUGAUGAUUAUCGUGCCAAAACACAUGUAGAAAGUGAACAAAAACACGAGUUAGCGAUUGCAACUCCUAGCGCUGAAGAGACUAGCGUUAUAGGUUUGCUAAACCCAACUAAAUCGACAUUAGGUGAUGAUUAUUCACCGGAAAAUACUGUAGCAUUUAGCGGCAUUAGCAGCUCAGAAACUGCAAAUUCGGAAACUGUUAGCGACAAUCUGGACAGCAACACAUUAAGUCGCCAGGAUUUAGAUAACAACACUGGUAAAAAGGUUGCUCAAAAUCGAGAGUUCGCUAUUGAAACUUUUAGCGCUAAAGAAAGUAGCAUUGUAGGUUUGCUAAGCCCAACUAAAUCGACAUUAGCUGACCAUUACUCACCAGAAAACAUGCUAGCAAUGGAAACUACCACUGCGAAUUUGUCAACAGCUGAAGAAACUAGCGUUGUAGGUUCGCUAAAUGCGACAAAUUCGACAACAGCUGAUAAUUAUCGUGCAAAAACUCAUGUAGAAAGUGAACAAAAACAAGAGUUAGGCAUUGCAACUUCUUCGCUAAAGAGACUAGCGUUAUAGGUUUGCUAAGCCCAACUAAAUCGACAUUAGCUGACCAUUACUCACCGGAAAACAUGCUAGCAAUGGAAAGUACCACUUCGUAUUUGUCAACAGCUAAAGAAAGUAGCGUUAUAGGUUUGCUAAGCCCAACUAAAUCGACAUUAGCUGACCAUUACUCACCAGAAAACAUGCUAGCAAUGGAAACUACCACUGCGAAUUUGUCAACAGCUAAAGAAACUAGCAUUAUAGGUUUGCUAAGCCCAACUAAAUCGACAUUAGCUGACCAUUACUCACCAGAAAACAUGCUAGCAAUGGAAACUACCACUUCGUAUUUGUCAACAGCUAAAGAAACUAGCGUUGUAGGUUUGCUAAGCCUAAGUCAAUCUACAUUAGCUGACAAUUACUCACCGGAAAACAUGCUAGCAAUGGAAACUACUACUUCGAAUUCCCAAACUUUGUCGACAGCUAGCAUAUUAGCAUCUACAGAAAACCCAGACAUUAGCGACCAAGAGUUAGCUAACCCACCACAAUGCACUUUAGUGAAUACGAGCCUACCUUUUUGCACGUACAUGCUCGGGAAGAAGGUAGUUUUGCCGAAUUUUCUGAACCAAACGAGCGUGGAC
Molecule: long non-coding RNA, 2460 nt
Filed under: Neogobius melanostomus (round goby)
Lineage: Eukaryota; Metazoa; Chordata; Actinopteri; Gobiiformes; Gobiidae
Description: lncRNA (ENSNMLG00000013774.1)
Source: RNAcentral